Molecule: ribosomal RNA, 587 nt
Filed under: uncultured bacterium
Lineage: Bacteria
Description: partial 16S ribosomal RNA
Rfam family: Bacterial small subunit ribosomal RNA
Source: RNAcentral
UGGGGAAUAUUGGACAAUGGGCGCAAGCCUGAUCCAGCCAUACCGCGUGGGUGAAGAAGGCCUUCGGGUUGUAAAGCCCUUUUGUUGGGAAAGAAAUCCAGCUGGUUAAUACCCGGUUGGGAUGACGGUACCCAAAGAAUAAGCACCGGCUAACUUCGUGCCAGCAGCCGCGGUAAUACGAAGGGUGCAAGCGUUACUCGGAAUUACUGGGCGUAAAGCGUGCGUAGGUGGUCGUUUAAGUCUGUUGUGAAAGCCCUGGGCUCAACCUGGGAACUGCAGUGGAAACUGGACGACUAGAGUGUGGUAGAGGGUAGCGGAAUUCCUGGUGUAGCAGUGAAAUGCGUAGAGAUCAGGAGGAACAUCCAUGGCGAAGGCAGCUACCUGGACCAACACUGACACUGAGGCACGAAAGCGUGGGGAGCAAACAGGAUUAGAUACCCUGGUAGUCCACGCCCUAAACGAUGCGAACUGGAUGUUGGGUGCAAUUUGGCACGCAGUAUCGAAGCUAACGCGUUAAGUUCGCCGCCUGGGGAGUACGGUCGCAAGACUGAAACUCAAAUGAAUUGACGGGGUCAUAGCGUGUUUCC